Molecule: long non-coding RNA, 745 nt
Organism: Hipposideros armiger (great roundleaf bat)
Lineage: Eukaryota; Metazoa; Chordata; Mammalia; Chiroptera; Hipposideridae
Exons: 2
Source: RefSeq, a predicted model, not a curated record
CGGGAGUCGGAACGUACCAAGUGGGAGGCGGAACGUACCAAGUGGGAGGCGGGAGUGGCUGUGCAGGCCGGAACUCCUCCCUGCAGGGGCGAGUGUAGUUUGUGAGUUCAGACCCGGGAAAACGAUGCUGCGAUCUUGGUUUGAGGCAAAGGAGGGAACUCGACUGCUAUACUCGCGGAUGCAGCAGGCUGGCUGCGGGGCAUCGGAAGAUGGGGCACCGGGGAGCGCCCGGGUCUGCGCGACAGUGCGCCUGCGCGGUAGGGCGCGUGACCCCGACGCGUGCUGGGAGCUCGGCUGGUCGGCUGCGUGCGCGCCCUCACCUGCGCCAGGUGGGGCAGCAAUACCAGUUAGUGUGCACCUGCCGCAAGGAUAAUACUCCAAAAUACGCCCCCCUUCCAUUCACACCUUCGAAUGACCUUUUUCCGAGAAAUUUAAGUGUAUUUUUCCACAUUCGAGGUGGUAGUUAAGAGGAAACUUAGCAAAUCCUGGAGAAGAGUGCGUGAGGAAAAUUGACCGUCUCUUAGCAGCGGGUACUCUGACUUCCUUCUGGACACCUUAUUUACGUUGUGGUUAAUCUGAGAGGAUUUGUACAUGCUUUUACUUAACCACCAAAGGGGUUACAUAAUUGGAGGGAAACCUUUUUCUGACUUCCUUCUGGACGGUUUUUAUUUACACUGAGGUUAAUCCUCCACAAUUUGUGCAUGCUUUAUUUAACCAAUAAAGGAGUUACAUAAUUGGAGUGAAA